This is a long non-coding RNA of Herpailurus yagouaroundi (jaguarundi), 295 nucleotides long. RefSeq lists it as uncharacterized. The transcript is spliced from 2 exons. The record is from RefSeq and is a predicted model, not a curated record. NCBI's taxonomy places the organism in Eukaryota, Metazoa, Chordata, Mammalia, Carnivora, Felidae.
ACAAUUUAAAAUUUGUAUUUUAGGGUCAGGGUGCCUGGCUGGAGCAGUCAGUAGACAGACCAUACCACUCUUGACCUCAGGGUUGUGAGUUCGAGCUCCACAUUGGAUGUAAAAUUUGUAUUUUAGAUUUUUUUUUUAAACCAGGCAUAGAAGAUCUUCUAGUGACUUGCCCUUUAGGAUGACUUACUCUGAACAGAAAAGAAUGAAUGGUUAUAAUUGAUUUUUGUAUCUUUAGACUUGAAAUAGCCUCACUGUGAGCACUGUAAUCUGUGGUAUCUCUAUUAUUACAUCAUCA